GACGAACGCUGGCGGCGUGCUUAACACAUGCAAGUCGAACGGAAAGGCCCUGCUUGCAGGGUACUCGAGUGGCGAACGGGUGAGUAACACGUGGGUGAUCUGCCCUGCACUUCGGGAUAAGCCUGGCAAACUGGGUCUAAUACCGGAUAGGAGCCAUUUUUAGUGUGAUGGUUGGAAAGUUUUUUCGGUGUAGGAUGAGCUCGCGGCCUAUCAGCUUGUUGGUGGGGUAAUGGCCUACCAAGGCGGCGACGGGUAGCCGGCCUGAGAGGGUGGACGGCCACAUUGGGACUGAGAUACGGCCCAGACUCCUACGGGAGGCAGCAGUGGGGAAGAUUGCACAAUGGGCGCAAGCCUGAUGCAGCGACGCCGCGUGGGGGAUGACGGCCUUCGGGUUGGAAACUCCUUUCGCUAGGGACGAAGCUUUUUGUGACGGUACCUAGAUAAGAAGCACCGGCUAACUACGUG
This 465-nucleotide ribosomal RNA is filed under the name uncultured bacterium. RNAcentral's name for it is "partial 16S ribosomal RNA". It matches the Rfam family "Bacterial small subunit ribosomal RNA", at positions 28 to 507 of the family's 1533-position model. The record is from RNAcentral.